This 292-nucleotide ribosomal RNA is filed under the name uncultured bacterium. RNAcentral describes it as "partial 16S ribosomal RNA". It matches the Rfam family "Bacterial small subunit ribosomal RNA", at positions 505 to 796 of the family's 1533-position model. The record is from RNAcentral.
GUGUCAGCAGCCGCGGUAAGACGAACCGUGCGAACGUUAUUCGGAUUCACUGGGCUUAAAGGGCGCGUAGGCGGCUCCGCGAGUCGGGGGUGAAAUCUUUCAGCCCAACUGGAAGAGGGCCUCCGAGACCGCGGGACUCGAGGGGGAUAGGGGUGCGCGGAACUUCCGGUGGAGCGGUGAAAUGCGUAGAUAUCGGAAGGAACGCCGGUGGCGAAAGCGGCGCACUGGAUCCCUACUGACGCUGAGGCGCGAAAGCCAGGGGAGCGAACGGGAUUAGAUACCCCGGUAGUCC